UUGAACGCUGGCGGCAGGCCUCACACAUGCAAGUCGAACGGUAACAGGAAGAAGCUUGCUUCUUUGCUGACGAGUGGCGGACGGGUGAGUAAUGUCUGGGAAACUGCCUGAUGGAGGGGGAUAACUACUGGAAACGGUAGCUAAUACCGCAUAACGUCGCAAGACCAAAAAGGGGGACCUUCGGGCCUCUUGCCAUCGGAUGUGCCCAGAUGGGAUUAGCUAGUAGGUGGGGUAACGGCUCACCUAGGCGACGAUCCCUAGCUGGUCUGAGAGGAUGACCAGCCACACUGGAACUGAGACACGGUCCAGACUCCUACGGGAGGCAGCAGUGGGGAAUAUUGCACAAUGGGCGCAAGCCUGAUGCAGCCAUGCCGCGUGUAUGAAGAAGGCCUUCGGGUUGUAAAGUACCUUCAGCGGGGAGGAAGGGAGUAAAGUUAAUACCUUUGCUCAUUGACGUUACCCGCAGAAGAAGCACCGGCUAACUCCGUG
Molecule: ribosomal RNA, 489 nt
Filed under: uncultured bacterium
Lineage: Bacteria
Description: partial 16S ribosomal RNA
Rfam family: Bacterial small subunit ribosomal RNA
Source: RNAcentral